AAGUAAGACUAAUACCCGAUGAUAUCCCUAGAAGACAUCUGAAAGGGAUUUAAAGAUUUUAUCGGUGAUGGAUGGGGAUGCGUCUGAUUAGCUUGUUGGCGGGGGUUAACGGCCCACCAAGGCGACGAUCAUAGGGGGUUCUGAGAGGAAGGUCCCCCACAUUGGAACUGAGACACGGUCCAAACUCCUACGGGAGGCAGCAGUGAGGAAUAUUGGUCAAUGGACGCAAGUCUGAACCAGCCAAGUAGCGUGCAGGAUGACGGCCCUAUGGGUUGUAAACUGCUUUUAUGCGGGGAUAAAGUUAGGGAUGUAUCCCUUUUUGCAGGUACCGCAUGAAUAAGGACCGGCUAAUUCCGUG
Molecule: ribosomal RNA, 358 nt
Filed under: uncultured bacterium
Lineage: Bacteria
Description: bacterial SSU rRNA
Rfam family: Bacterial small subunit ribosomal RNA
Source: RNAcentral